Molecule: long non-coding RNA, 2352 nt
Organism: Pangasianodon hypophthalmus (striped catfish)
Lineage: Eukaryota; Metazoa; Chordata; Actinopteri; Siluriformes; Pangasiidae
Exons: 4
Source: RefSeq, a predicted model, not a curated record
AGUGCGCUAAGUUGGGUAUGAAGUCAUGACCGGUACACCCUCAGUAGUGCACUACAUAUUCACUUCUGAGUCAUUUGCGAUUUAACCAUCACACGUUCUGUAAGUACAGGUGGAAAAGUGUGGCCAGUCCUCUAGAUCAACAUUACCGUGGAGAUGUAUACAAUACAGACUAAUAUGUCUGUUUUAAUAAAUAUUUCUCUAAAGGCUAAAGGGAUUGCCCUGUAGUUGGCUCCAUCCAUUCUGCCCUCAACCAUUUUCCCAGUUCCUGCCGAUGAAAAGCAUCCUCACGACACGAUGCUUCCACCACCACCAUUCUUCACAGUGGGGAAUGUGUUUUCAGGAUGCCAUUGUUCCAUAAAGUUCAGCUUUAUGGAGUGUCGAGGCUAUGGCUCUCCUUUGAACAAUUUCUCCCAUCUGAGCUGUAGAUCUCACCAUCUCCUUCAGAGUUCCCCUUGGCUUCUUAAUUGCUUUUGGUGGACAACUUCUCUAGGCAGAGGAGUUAUCUGCAGUAUCCAGACUGCGUUUCAGCGGCAGGGAGCCGACAUGUUGAGUCUCGCAUUUUCUCGCGAGAUUCGGUUGAGCGCUCACGCUACUCGGGUUGGUCUGGGUACCUGGUGACCUCAGGCUGUAACCACUGUGAGCACUUCUCCACCUGUGAUGUACAAAGAAUAGAGGAUUGUAGCCUCUCAGCCAUCAGCCACACUGCAUGUGUGGAAAAUGCACACCUCCCUCAGGCUCGUUAAUUACAUCUGUUGUUUUAAGUGUCAGUAUUUACCCUAGGUUAUUUAAGACAUGCUGAUAUUUUUAGAUAUUGAGAUUAUUUUAGACACACUGACUGCUUGAAAAAAAAAAAAAAAAAAAGAAUGUAGUUUGACUUUAAUGUCUUUGACUUCCAGCAUCUAGGGCAGAGGAGUGUUGCAGUGGUUAGUGUUGCUGUCUCCCAGUUCCCAAGAUCCCUGGUUUGAGCCUGAGUUCAGAUUACUGUAUCUGUGUAGAGUUUUGUGUUUUCUCCCUGUGAUCUCAGUUUUCUUUCAUUUGAUCAGGAUAAAGCAGUUAAUAAAUAAGGAUUUUUAGAACAACUGCAUGUAGGUCAAGGCACUGGUGUAAUACUAAUACUAUCCAUAGUAAUACUAUGGAUAAUCCUAAUGGUUAGAUUUAGAUUUCACAACAAGAUCAACAUUUAUUUCAGAAAAGAAUUUUAAUCCUUCGCACCUCAGCUGAGAAUCCCAUUCCUGCCAUAUUUUUGCAUAAAACCCUAAACAACAAUAAAUUUCACAGCUUAAUGAUAGAAACAAAGUUAGAAAUGUUGUUAAAAGAAGAGUAGAAAUUAAGUGUCAUCAGCUUGGCACUGCAUAACGCACAUAGACUUGAAACAUUAGUGACAGAAUUAAUCACCUCGGGCAUCUUAAAGAGAAUUUCUUGUAUAAACUAUUUAGUACAGUGAUACUAAGUGAUCGCAUGUACAAUAAACUGAUUUCCAAUGGUAACUGGUGAUGAUGCCACUUGGUUUAAACCCACUUGGUUUAACUGGAGGAGGCCAGCUGAAACAAACAGAACCCGUUUUAGCAACCAGUUUUGUUUGCAGAAAUUUUUUAACUUUACUGGAGUUAUAAUACAUUCCAGCAAAAAAUCAGAUUUUUUUUUUUUUUCCAAGUAUAAGGUAAAAGAAUUUGUCUUGGUGUGUUACACAUUAUCAGAUGAAUUACACAGACAAUUACAAGAUGGUAAAUAAGUGGAGGGGAGGGGAAAAGGUAAAUAAAUGGAGCUAUAAGAAGAACCAUGGUGUAGCUAAAAGAUCUCUUUGAUUAUAUUCAAGCGUACAUGUAGUCACACUGUUACAUGGACAUUUGUACAAUGAUAUAUGCAUAUUUACAGUGUGAUAUAGACAUAUGAGAUAUAGAUGUCUGCUGUGCUUAAUGAUGGCCACUGCUCUAGGGAAAAACUAUUCAUUUGUCUCACUGUAUUGGCUUUGAUGGCCCUGAGUUUUCUACCGGGAAGAAGUGGAAAGAAAAGAUGGUAUCCAAAGUGAGAGGAAUCAGCUACAAUCUUUCCAGUGAGCUUCAUAACCCUGCUGUUGUAGAUGUCCUGAAGUGAUGGGCGACUACAUCAGAUAAACUUCUCUGCUAAGGAGCAAUGUUCUGGGGCAGCCGUCUGUGGUGCCAUCUGGGUUUCUUGGUUCGAACAUCAACAUAAGUGAAAUAAAAAGGUGUGUUUUAAUGUGAAUACAUUUGAAUGACUAUAUACUUUCAGUUUACAUGCUUAUUAUGUACAGCUAACUUGUAUCUACAUGAAUUUGCCUUUACAAUUUGUAUACAAUUACUGACCGGAGCCUACCUGUAAUUUGUCCUCAUU